RNAcentral lists this small RNA (66 nucleotides) under Escherichia coli. Its description in RNAcentral is "partial RtT sRNA". It matches the Rfam family "RtT RNA", at positions 59 to 130 of the family's 130-position model. Rfam says of the family: This family represents a bacterial cis-regulatory element known as RtT RNA. The exact function of RtT is unknown although it is thought that it may be involved in changing the cellular response in relation to amino acid starvation. The record is from RNAcentral. Lineage: Bacteria; Pseudomonadati; Pseudomonadota; Gammaproteobacteria; Enterobacterales; Enterobacteriaceae.
AGGAUAACGUUGCGUCAGCAACGGCCCGUAGGGCGAGCGAAGCGAGUCAUCCUGCACGACCCACCA